This 421-nucleotide long non-coding RNA is filed under the name Homo sapiens (human). RNAcentral describes it as "HSALNT0004412". Lineage: Eukaryota; Metazoa; Chordata; Mammalia; Primates; Hominidae. The record is from RNAcentral.
UCCUACUGCAGGGCCAUGAGCGGUCCAUUACGCAGAUUAAGUAUAACCGCGAAGGAGACCUCCUCUUUACUGUGGCCAAGGACCCUAUCGUCAAUGUAUGGUACUCUGUGAAUGGUGAGAGGCUGGGCACCUACAUGGGCCAUACCGGAGCUGUGUGGUGUGUGGACGCUGACUGGGACACCAAGCAUGUCCUCACUGGCUCAGCUGACAACAGCUGUCGUCUCUGGGACUGUGAAACAGAAUGUCCUCCCUGCAAUUGCAAUGGAUGGUGUAGCCCAGACUUUGCCUGACUCCAGGAAAGCAGCUGGCCCUUCUCAAGACCAAUUCGGCUGUCCGGACCUGCGGUUUUGACUUUGGGGGCAACAUCAUCAUGUUCUCCACGGACAAGCAGAUGGGCUACCAGUGCUUUGUGAGCUUUUUU